CAAUAAGCGGAGGAAAAGAAACCAACAGGGAUUGCCCCAGUAACGGCGAGUGAAGCGGCAACAGCUCAAAUUUGAAAUCUGGCCCCCGGGUCCGAGUUGUAAUUUGCAGAGGAUGCUUUGGGCGAGGUUCCUUCCGAGUUCCCUGGAACGGGACGCCACAGAGGGUGAGAGCCCCGUCUGGUCGGACACCGAGCCCGUGUAAAGCUCCUUCGACGAGUCGAGUAGUUUGGGAAUGCUGCUCAAAAUGGGAGGUAUAUGUCUUCUAAAGCUAAAUAUUGGCCAGAGACCGAUAGCGCACAAGUAGAGUGAUCGAAAGAUGAAAAGCACUUUGAAAAGAGGGUUAAAAAGUACGUGAAAUUGUUGAAAGGGAAGCGCCUAUGACCAGACUUGCGCCCGGUGAAUCAUCCAGCGUUCUCGCUGGUGCACUUUGCCGGGCACAGGCCAGCAUCAGUUUGGCGCGGGGGAUAAAGGCUUCGGGAAUGUGGCUCCCUCGGGAGUGUUAUAGCCCGCUGCGCAAUACCCUGCACCGGACUGAGGUACGCGCAUCGCAAGGAUGCUGGCGUAAUGGUCAUCAGCGACCCGUCUUGAAACACGGACCAAGGAGUCGUCUUCGUAUGCGAGUGUUCGGGUGUUAAACCCCUACGCGGAAUGAAAGUGAACGUAGGUGAGAGCUUCGGCGCAUCAUCGACCGAUCCUGAUGUUCUCGGAUGGAUUUGAGUAAGAGCAUACGGGGCCGGACCCGAAAGAAGGUGAACUAUGCCUGUAUAGGGUGAAGCCAGAGGAAACUCUGGUGGAGGCUCGCAGCGGUUCUGACGUGCGAAUCGAUCGUCAAAUAUGGGCAUGGGGGCGAAAGACUAAUCGAACCUUCUAGUAGCUGGUU
RNAcentral lists this ribosomal RNA (880 nucleotides) under Cordyceps spegazzinii. RNAcentral's name for it is "partial large subunit ribosomal RNA". It matches the Rfam family "Eukaryotic large subunit ribosomal RNA", at positions 44 to 956 of the family's 3401-position model. RNAcentral also lists the same sequence under 1 other name. Lineage: Eukaryota; Fungi; Ascomycota; Sordariomycetes; Hypocreales; Cordycipitaceae. The record is from RNAcentral.